AUUUUAACGAUGAAUGCCUCGGCUCGGCUAACGAUGAAGGACGCAGCGAAUUGCGAUAAGCAAUGCGAAUUGCAGAAUUCCGUGAAUCAUCAGAUUUCUGAACGUACCCUACGCUAUCGGGUAUUCCUGAUAGCAUGUCUGGUCUCAGCG
RNAcentral lists this ribosomal RNA (150 nucleotides) under Syndinium turbo. RNAcentral's name for it is "5.8S ribosomal RNA". It matches the Rfam family "5.8S ribosomal RNA". Rfam says of the family: 5.8S ribosomal RNA (5.8S rRNA) is a component of the large subunit of the eukaryotic ribosome. It is transcribed by RNA polymerase I as part of the 45S precursor that also contains 18S and 28S rRNA. Functionally, it is thought that 5.8S rRNA may be involved in ribosome translocation. The record is from RNAcentral. RNAcentral also lists the same sequence under 1 other name. Lineage: Eukaryota; Dinophyceae; Syndiniales; Syndiniaceae.